Molecule: non-coding RNA, 26 nt
Filed under: Mus musculus (house mouse)
Lineage: Eukaryota; Metazoa; Chordata; Mammalia; Rodentia; Muridae
Source: RNAcentral
UAGGACUCAUUUCAGCUGGACACCUG